This 253-nucleotide ribosomal RNA is filed under the name uncultured bacterium. Its description in RNAcentral is "partial 16S ribosomal RNA". It matches the Rfam family "Bacterial small subunit ribosomal RNA", at positions 524 to 776 of the family's 1533-position model. The record is from RNAcentral.
UACGAAGGGGGCUAGCGUGGUUCGGAAUCACUGGGCGGAAAGGGCGCGUAGGCGGUUUUUUAAGGCGGGGGUGAAAGCCUGUGGCUCAACCACAGAAUUGCCUUCGAUACUGCAUGGCUUGAGACCGGAAGAGGUAAGUGGAACUGCGAGUGUAGAGGUGAAAUUCGUAGAUAUUCGCAAGAACACCAGUGGCGAAGGCGGCUUACUGGUCCGGUUCUGACGCUGAGGCGCGAAAGCGUGGGGAGCAAACAGG